GCGGGAGUGGCUCAGUGGUAGAGCGCUUCCUUGCCAAGGAAGAUGUCGCGGGUUCGAAUCCCGUCUCCCGCU
Molecule: transfer RNA, 72 nt
Filed under: Thermosporothrix hazakensis
Lineage: Bacteria; Bacillati; Chloroflexota; Ktedonobacteria; Ktedonobacterales; Thermosporotrichaceae
Also listed under: 3 other names
Rfam family: tRNA
About the family: Transfer RNA (tRNA) molecules are approximately 80 nucleotides in length. Their secondary structure includes four short double-helical elements and three loops (D, anti-codon, and T loops).
Source: Rfam by way of RNAcentral